RNAcentral lists this ribosomal RNA (470 nucleotides) under Kocuria sp. RNAcentral describes it as "bacterial SSU rRNA". It matches the Rfam family "Bacterial small subunit ribosomal RNA", at positions 1 to 483 of the family's 1533-position model. Lineage: Bacteria; Bacillati; Actinomycetota; Actinomycetes; Micrococcales; Micrococcaceae. The record is from RNAcentral.
CUUUUAUGAGUUUGUAUUUGGCUCAGGACGAACGCUGGCGGCGUGCUUAACACAUGCAAGUCGAACGAUGAUGCCCAGCUUGCUGGGCGGAUUAGUGGCGAACGGGUGAGUAAUACGUGAGUAACCUGCCCUUGACUCUGGGAUAAGCCUGGGAAACUGGGUCUAAUACUGGAUACUACCUCUUGCCGCAUGGUGGGUGGUGGAAAGGGUUUUACUGGUUUUGGAUGGGCUCACGGCCUAUCAGCUUGUUGGUGGGGUAAUGGCUCACCAAGGCGACGACGGGUAGCCGGCCUGAGAGGGUGACCGGCCACACUGGGACUGAGACACGGCCCAGACUCCUACGGGAGGCAGCAGUGGGGAAUAUUGCACAAUGGGCGGAAGCCUGAUGCAGCGACGCCGCGUGAGGGAUGACGGCCUUCGGGUUGUAAACCUCUUUCAGUAGGGAAGAAGCGAGAGUGACGGUCCCUCAU